CAGUUACUCCCUCCAUUCGGAAAUACUUGUCCAAAAAAUAAAUGUAUCUAGACGUAUUUUAAUUAUAGAUACAUUCAUUUUUAUGACAAAUAAUUCCGAAGGAAGGGAGUACAAA
Triticum aestivum (bread wheat) is the source of this 115-nucleotide non-coding RNA. The record is from Rfam. Lineage: Eukaryota; Viridiplantae; Streptophyta; Magnoliopsida; Poales; Poaceae.